Molecule: transfer RNA, 72 nt
Filed under: Bos taurus (domestic cattle)
Lineage: Eukaryota; Metazoa; Chordata; Mammalia; Artiodactyla; Bovidae
Also listed under: 5 other names
Rfam family: tRNA
About the family: Transfer RNA (tRNA) molecules are approximately 80 nucleotides in length. Their secondary structure includes four short double-helical elements and three loops (D, anti-codon, and T loops). Further hydrogen bonds mediate the characteristic L-shaped molecular structure. tRNAs have two regions of fundamental functional importance: the anti-codon, which is responsible for specific mRNA codon recognition, and the 3' end, to which the tRNAs corresponding amino acid is attached (by aminoacyl-tRNA synthetases). tRNAs cope with the degeneracy of the genetic code in two manners: having more than one tRNA (with a specific anti-codon) for a particular amino acid; and 'wobble' base-pairing, i.e. permitting non-standard base-pairing at the 3rd anti-codon position.
Source: Rfam by way of RNAcentral
UCCCUGGUGGCUCAGAUGGUAAAGCAUCUGCCUACAAUUCAGGAGACCUGGGUUCGAUCCCUGGGUCGGGAA